Molecule: unclassified non-coding RNA, 149 nt
Filed under: soil metagenome
Description: partial internal transcribed spacer 1
Source: RNAcentral
UAAUAAGUGUUUUAUGGCACUUUUUUAAGUCCAUAUCCACCUUGUGUGCAAUGUCGGUCGAUCUUCUUUUUUUGAGGAUCGACCAAACAUCAACCUUUAUUUUUUUAACUCUUUGUCUGAAAAAUAUUAUGAAUAAACAACUCAAAAUA